AGGCAGGGACCUCGCUCCUGGGGGGAUCCGAGCCAAGGUGGGUCCAGGCAUCCUUGGAAUCCUGGAACCACUCCUCAGCACAGCCACCCCAACCAGUGCAAUUGGCAUCCCCCAAGACCAGGACAGCUCCGCCCAGCUCACCCCGGAGUCGCCCAUCCCUAGAACGAUGAACUCAGAUAUCAACUCUGGAAGGUCCCUGAUUGACAGAUGGGGAAACUGAGGGCAGCAACCCUCACGAGGUCGUCCCAGCUUGAACCCGAGCUGGUGCCUGGGAGCCCCGGACCCUCACUGUGCUGCCCAACCUGGGACGCCAAGGCCACGUGCUUCCCUGCUGUUAAGAGACGCUCGGCCUCAGCCCACACCCUCCAGCGGCUGCCGCUGUUUAAACAGAAGACGUCAUGGCCAGUGAUAUACGCUGGAUUCCAAAGAUUGUUCCAUCCAGGGGAGAUGGCUCCUGGAGCCGGCUCCAGCUCAGGUAAGCCACCCAGAAUGGCCAGGGUGUGACCCGGCUGACUCUCCCAAGGGCCUGACCCACAGGCGCCCCUUGUGCAGACCGUUUCUUGCCAGUUAUUCUGCGGCAGGGCAAGGCCGUGAGCACAGUCCUGAGAUGCUCAGGAUCCCGGAGGUGAAAGGCGCCAAGCACGUGCCUGGAUGCAUCCCCCACACACAUACAAUGGGACCGGGGAGCCCCAGAGGGGACACGGCUAGUCCAAGACCACAGACCUGGUGAGCCCCAAAGAGUGUCAUCUUUUCAGAUUCCCCUUUGAAGGUCAAGACGCACCAGAAGGGACAUAGGGGGGAAAGGGGGAUGGGGGCUGUCCUUAACGCCACCCCUCCUACUGCCCCAGUGUCACCUCUUCCAAAGGGUCUGCUGCGGUGCCCCACCCCUCACAUGGCUCUCUAGCUUGUCCCACUGCGACAUGAUUUUACAUAUAUCAGCUUACUCAAAUACAUAUUUAUAGAUUUACCAGAACACUGGCUUUCCCCUUAUAUUAGAGCAGAUUCCCAGGAGGUCUGGGACUAUAUUUGUCUGGUUCGCUGUGGUUUCCUGUGCUGAGGACGGACCUUGGGAUAUAACAGGUGCUAAGUUCAUUGUCACCACCACCACCACCACCGUCACCACCACACUGCUAAUAACAGCUAACCCACAUUGAGCACCAACCAGACCCUGUGUCCGGUGUUUUGUGUGGAUUAACACAUUGCACCACCCCUCCAUCCCCACAGAGUGAGACUGUUACCAUCCCAUUUCGCAGGUGAGGACACUAAGGCACAGGGCUUUAGAAACUUGCCCAGAGUCAGACAGUUCACAAAGGUCAAAGCUGAGAUGCCCUUGAAUUGACAGAAAGAGCCCCUGUGCUGAUGAGCCAGCCCCUCUGAGUGGCGUGGGGGCAGCCCUCUGCCCUCACACUUUAUUGCAUCUUUGGGCACCUGACGAAGCAGCUUGCCCUGUAAGAGGAAGAAAGCAGGGCUGGAGGAGGUCUGGCCCCUUGCCUGUAGUCAACACAUGGUGUAACUUCCAUUGACCACACAAUGCUGGUGACGAGAUUUCCCCUGCCGGGGUCUCAGGGGAGAUCCCCUGAGGGCUUAGGGCCUCCUGCCCGGCUGCCCCCACCCCUGCCCCCCAGGCCUUCCUCAGUCUCUCUUGCACACACGUGGUGCUGACCCUGAAUCCUGUAGUCUCCCUCCAGCCCUGACGGACCCCGAUUUCUCUCUGAAGGGAGCGGCCCCCCCUCCUUGGCAGCUAAACCUGCAGGGGCCCCUAGAAGUGGGUUUCCCCCGACAGCCAUCCGCUCCUUCCCUCGCCCGGCAUCGCGCUGUUGACAACCUGUAGCCUCGGGAAUCAGCCGGCGGGACGGAAAAUUGGGAGGCGUCCUGGAGGACGCUUGUAAGAAGGCUAUGACUUCAGAAUUUGGGGGAGGGGGUGGAAGUCAGGCACUCAGCGGGGUCUUCGCAGAGAGAACCUCACUUAAGAUCUGAACAUCCGAACCGAACCGAACGGAAUUUGCUCCCUCCGGCUCAACGGCCUCCCUUUCCCCAUCCGUACACGGCGGCCGCCUUUCUACCACCACGCGGCGCCCUGCCCAUGCCAGCCCCCCGGGUGUGGGGGCUGCACUGCAUGACUUCAUAUUGGUGCCUUUAAAUCUCAAAUGAUUCCAAGGACCCCUCAAGUAUUUGGACCAGAAAUGCAUGGUGAAGGUGUGUGGCGAGGUUUUAAAAACCAGUCCACUCUGGGGCCUUUGCUUCAGGAUUUCUGGGCAGACCGCCAGCUUCUCUUUCCAAUUAAACGCCCCAUUUGGCUGGCGGGUGGGCCCCUGCGCUGGAAGGGGGAGAUGGCUGCUACCCCCGCUGUCUGGAUGCAAUCUGGGGACAGAUUUCAUAAGUCGGGGGAAGGAAUGCACCUGAGAUCCCAUCGCAGCAGAAGUGUCCCCUCAGCAGCUCCCCGUAAAGGAGGAGAAUCUGUGUGUCCAGAUCCAGGAAGGACACGCUGGGUGAAGAGCGGGGUGAGGGGCCUAGGGAAGGGGGGACAAGGGUGACAACAGCUUCAGCCUAGGAGGGCAAGGGGAGCAUGGACCCCUCACUCAAGGCACCUCUCCACGGGCUGCUCUGGGUGACGUUUGGACCAAGACUAUAAUGCAUCCAUCAGAACAAAUAAUGCCGUGCAGAGCUCACGGCAGGCAAACUCUCCCUAUGUGAUCAGCACGGUGGCACAAGGACCCUAGGACGUAGAUGGGGAACCUGAGGUUCAGGAAGUUGAGUCGACAAGGUCGCAGGCUGGCUGGAGCCAGGGCUGGAUCCAAGCUGGAGAGAGAAGCCUCCCCCGGCCUUCAUCAGCUUUGGACCCCAUGGCCUCUACCAUGAAGGCCCUGGGGCCAGCCAGGGAAGAAGGCUGUGGAGCACGUGGGCGCACAUACGCGUGCAAAUGCACGUGGACUUUUGCACAUACGUGUACACGUUGGGAGGAGCCUGUAAAGAAAAAAAGAAAAAAACGUAAUGAAAUGACUCUGAGCAAAGCCAGGUGCCCAGAAAGGAAGCAGAAGGAAGAUGAAAGGCAAGAACGCAACCCCCGCCCGCCUCUAGAAACUUCCAACAGGAGGAGGCCUCCUGCUGGCUCCCAUUUGUGGACGCAAGGCCACCGGAGCUGCCACUGCCAUGCUGGGACUGCGUGGCUGAGGGGACACGUCCAGGGGGAGGCCGGUGACCCCAAGGCGGCUAUCUCAGCCUGCGAUCUCAUCACCAGAUGGGCCCUCUCUCGCACGCUCCCUAAAAAGCCGGAAAUCCAUCUGCAAGGCAGGACAAAUGGCCACCCCUGCUUCUUCCAUCUGCCAGGACAUGUGAACGCGGGCGCUGUGGCAGCGCCGGCUGAGGGAUUCUGGGUAUUUACAGCCAGCGAUCUCUUAUCAGCUGUGCCAUCGAGCCGUGAUGGGCUAGGCUGACCCUGCAUCUAUCCGAAUGUGCUGAUCCUUUGAGACUUGUCUAACCCUUUAAUGCAAGGCGACAGCAAUACUGUUGCCUGUCAGGCCCAAAGACACCACUGCCUGUUUUGCAAAGGACGCGUGCCCGACUUCCCGGCAAAUUGAAGACAACUGGGAAACGUCCACCUAUCCAUUCACAGGCCAAGGGCGCUGCGGGCUUCACCGUCCACUGGGAUUUCACCUCCAAGGCCCCACCUCAGAUCAGAAGCUAUUAGGACGACCGGCCCAUCAGCAGCGGGGAGACAGCACAAGGUGGAGGAGCAGAAUUGCUCUUCUUGUCCCCGUUUGCUACUAAAGUGCUGUGUGACAUUGGCUAAGUCGCUUGCCCUCUCUGUUUCCCAUUUUGUUCGGCUGCACAACCAGCUCUUUGGUGCUGGGAUUUGGAGUUUAAACCUCUUCAGCCGGGUCUUCCAAACCCCUGACAACGCUCAGGCUUCUUCUCCCUCCCCCUGUGCCCCACGUUGCCCUGAAGGCCUUGCGGGUCCCAAACAGUGCCCCCAGCCAGCCCCUUGUCCUCCAUCCGCUACCCUGCUCCGAUCGCAGCUGAGAGAGGACCACCGGCCAGUUCCUCCUUCGCGGUGCAUCCCCAUUUUGCAGGUGGGAGGACGGUGGCUCAGGGAAGCAACGUGAGAAAGUGGUGAAGCCAACGUGAGCCCCGGACUCUGCUCUGCUGCAGACCCUGAGGGUCUCCUGAGUGGAGGGAGAGACCCCGGAGGCAGAGGCACGGCCAAGACAGCACCUUGGCCCUGGACGGCGGCGGAACACCAGCAGCACCUCGGCGGAGACCUCUGCACCCUGAGACUCGAAGAGGAGGUUCCAACCUGCAGGGAACAGCAUGGGCCCUUUCCAGGUGGAGACACAAGAGUGCAAGCUCCCAGGAGGAGGUCGGCCCCGAACCCCCAUCAUGACCUGGUCUCCAAGUGCCCCCCAACCCCCACCUCUAACAACUCCUGCCCCCACCCGGGGCAGCGCUGUAUGGCUAAAAGCAUCGUGUCCCUCUGUCUGUCUUUCCCUCUGUCUGUCCCUCUGUCUGUCUCUUUUUAGGGCUACACCUGCAGCAUAUGGAAGUUCACAGGCUAGGGGUUGAAUCAGAGCUACAGCUGCCGGUCUACACCACAGCAUGUGACAAUGCCAGAUCCUUAACCCACUGGAUGAGGCCAAGGAUCAAAUCUGCAUCCUCACAGAGACAAUAUCAGGUCCUUAACCCACUGAGCCACAGUACUCCCAAAGUGGCCCAAUUUUUGUCUCUUAGUUUUUUAUUUUAUUUUAUUUUAUUUUAUUUUAUUUUAUUUUAUUUUAUUUUAUUUUAUCUUUUUUAGGACUGCACCCACAGCACAUGGAAGUUCCCAGGCUAGGGGUCAAGAUGGAGCUGCAGCUGCCAGCUUACACCACACCCACAGCAAUGCCAGAUCCGAGCCGCAUCUGUGAGCUACAUGGAAGCUCAUGUCAAGGCCGGAUCCCCAACCCACUGAGUGAGGCCAGGGAUAGAACCCAUGUCCUCGUGGAUACUAGUUGGGCUCAUUACUGCUGAGCCACAGCAGGAACUCCUGCCUCUCUUUUAAACCUGAGUUUUCUAUAAAAGACUCCAUUCAAGGAAAAAUUUCUAUAGUACAUCAAUUUAAAUUAUUUUUCUUUAUGUUGGCAAACAACAGUCAAUUUACAAACGUGCCAACUUGCCAUAGUAACAGCAAAGUUUCUCAUAAUGGGUUUGCGGGGGGGCUCCUAAAAAGGCCAAGAGAAUACCUACCUUCCAGUCUCCGGCGGCAGCCCCCACAGCCUGGGGGCGGCUGGGCAGCUACACAGGUCACCAUGGAUACGCACUCUCCUUGACCACACCCCAUCCACCCAGUUUAAUGCGCACCUGCUAUGUGCCAGGCGCUGAGCAGGACGGAGACAGCCCUCCCACACGCCUCCCAUCUUCCCAGGCCGUGCUGGGAGCAUCACCACCCCCCGAGAUGCCUCUGACAUCCGGCAUCAGGUCCUGCGGCAGCCGGGGCACUGACUCCUCCAGCAGGACCAGAGCGCAGCCGCUAUCACUGGCCUGUUGUCUCCUUUCCACCUGCCCGUCCUACCGCUCCCUCCCAAAUUCUCCCGGUUCAUCUUCAGAGCCGGACUGCGUUCCUUAUCAGGGCCUCCCAAGGGAAGUCUGCUCGUGCGAGCAUCAGUGAUCUUGCUGAGCCAAGGUGGGCGGUUUCCAGCAAAAGUCCCCCCACACCUGUGCACCCCCACCACCAUCGUCCAAAACUGGACUUGCCUCUUGGGUGAUUUUCCACCGGACUGGAGCACCACCUACGAGGGCAGUGAGCACAGAUGCGGUCGCUGCCUGUCCCCGUGCCUUGCACAGCCCAGGCAUCUUCAGCCAAUCCUUGUUCAAUGAAUAAAAGAGAACGCUUUGUA
RNAcentral lists this long non-coding RNA (5870 nucleotides) under Sus scrofa (pig). Its description in RNAcentral is "lncRNA (ENSSSCG00040056488.1)". The record is from RNAcentral. Lineage: Eukaryota; Metazoa; Chordata; Mammalia; Artiodactyla; Suidae.